CGGCAUGGCGGCGUGCUAUACAUGCAAGUCGAGCGGACAGAUGGGAGCUUGCUCCCUGAUGUUAGCGGCGGACGGGUGAGUAACACGUGGGUAACCUGCCUGUAAGACUGGGAUAACUCCGGGAAACCGGGGCUAAUACCGGAUGCUUGUUUGAACCGCAUGGUUCAAACAUAAAAGGUGGCUUCGGCUACCACUUACAGAUGGACCCGCGGCGCAUUAGCUAGUUGGUGAGGUAAUGGCUCACCAAGGCAACGAUGCGUAGCCGACCUGAGAGGGUGAUCGGCCACACUGGGACUGAGACACGGCCCAGACUCCUACGGGAGGCAGCAGUAGGGAAUCUUCCGCAAUGGACGAAAGUCUGACGGAGCAACGCCGCGUGAGUGAUGAAGGUUUUCGGAUCGUAAAGCUCUGUUGUUAGGGAAGAACAAGUACCGUUCGAAUAGGGCGGUACCUUGACGGUACCUAACCAGAAAGCCACGGCUAACUACGUGCCAGCAGCCGCGGUAAUACGUAGGUGGCAAGCGUUGUCCGGAAUUAUUGGGCGUAAAGGGCUCGCAGGCGGUUUCUUAAGUCUGAUGUGAAAGCCCCCGGCUCAACCGGGGAGGGUCAUUGGAAACUGGGGAACUUGAGUGCAGAAGAGGAGAGUGGAAUUCCACGUGUAGCGGUGAAAUGCGUAGAGAUGGUGGAGGAACACCAGUGGCGAAGGCGACUCUCUGGUCUGUAACUGACGCUGAGGAGCGAAAGCGUGGGGGAGCGAACAGGAUUAGAUACCCUGGUAGUCCACGCCGUAACGAUGAGUGCUAAGUGUUAAGGGGGUUUCCGCCCCUUAGUGCUGCAGCUAACGCAUUAAGCCACUCCGCCCUUGGGGAGUACGGUCCGCAAGACUGAAACUCAAAGGAUUGACGGGGGGCCCGCACAAGCGGUGGAGCAUGUGUUUAAUUCGAAGCACGCGAGACCUUACCAGGUCUGACAUCUCUGACAAUCUUAGAGAUAGGACGUCCU
This 1002-nucleotide ribosomal RNA is filed under the name Bacillus subtilis. Its description in RNAcentral is "bacterial SSU rRNA". It matches the Rfam family "Bacterial small subunit ribosomal RNA", at positions 34 to 1017 of the family's 1533-position model. The record is from RNAcentral. Lineage: Bacteria; Bacillati; Bacillota; Bacilli; Caryophanales; Bacillaceae.